RNAcentral lists this ribosomal RNA (253 nucleotides) under uncultured bacterium. RNAcentral's name for it is "partial 16S ribosomal RNA". It matches the Rfam family "Bacterial small subunit ribosomal RNA", at positions 524 to 776 of the family's 1533-position model. The record is from RNAcentral. RNAcentral also lists the same sequence under 1 other name.
UACGUAGGGGGCAAGCGUUGUCCGGAUUUAUUGGGCGUAAAGAGCGUGUAGGCGGCCAGACAGGUCCGUUGUGAAAACUCGAGGCUCAACCUCGAGAUGUCGAUGGAAACCGUCUGGCUAGAGUCCGGAAGAGGAGUGUGGAAUUCCUGGUGUAGCGGUGAAAUGCGCAGAUAUCAGGAAGAACACCUAUGGCGAAGGCAGCACUCUGGGACGGUACUGACGCUGAGACGCGAAAGCGUGGGGAGCGAACAGG